CCUACGGGCGGCAGCAGUGAGGAAUAUUGGUCAAUGGGCGCUAGCCUGAACCAGCCACGUCGCGUGAAGGAUGACUGCCCUAUGGGUUGUAAACUUCUUUUGUAUGGGAGUAAAGUGCAGUAUGUAUACUGCUCUGCAUGUACCUUAUGAAUAAGGAUCGGCUAACUCCGUGCCAGCAGCCGCGGUAAUACGGAGGAUCCGAGCGUUAUCCGGAUUUAUUGGGUUUAAAGGGUGCGUAGGCGGGUUGAUAAGUUAGAUGUGAAAGUUUGGGGCUCAACCCGAGAAUUGCAGUUGAUACUGGCAGCCUAGAGUGCAGUAGAGGUAGGCGGAAUGCGUGGUGUAGCGGUGAAAUGCUUAGAUAUCACGAAGAACACCGAUUGCGAAGGCAGCUUGCUGGACUGUAACUGACGCUGAGGCUCGAAAGCGUGGGGAGCAAACAGGAUUAGAUACCCUGGUAGUC
Molecule: ribosomal RNA, 460 nt
Filed under: uncultured bacterium
Lineage: Bacteria
Description: partial 16S ribosomal RNA
Rfam family: Bacterial small subunit ribosomal RNA
Source: RNAcentral